Molecule: small RNA, 365 nt
Filed under: Pan troglodytes (chimpanzee)
Lineage: Eukaryota; Metazoa; Chordata; Mammalia; Primates; Hominidae
Description: processed transcript
Source: RNAcentral
AAUUAAUGACUGCCACAGCAAUUAGAAUUCUUUUGAUUCCCAUUUUUAUAAUGACAAAAUGUAAAUAUAACUUUGCAUUUCUUGCAGGAAGAAAGAAACAGAAGCUUGCCAAGGAGAGAGCUGGGCUUUCCAAGUUACCUGACCUUAAAGAUGCUGAAGCUGUUCAGAAGUUCUUCCUUGAAGAAAUACAGCUUGGUGAAGAGUUACUAGCUCAAGGUGAAUAUGAGAAGGGCGUAGACCAUCUGACAAAUGCAAUUGCUGUGUGUGGACAGCCACAGCAGUUACUGCAGGUCUUACAGCAAACUCUUCCACCACCAGUGUUCCAGAUGCUUCUGACUAAGCUCCCAACAAUUAGUCAGAGAAUU